GUGAGGAAACAUUAGAAACAUUGAUCUACAGCAGAAUGCUUCUCCUGCAGCUCACUCUGCUCUUUGUGCUCGUGCUUGGAGGCAGCAGUGACAUCAUCAGCAUCUAUCACAGAGCUGGAGAUGAGGUCAUCAUGUCCUGUAACAGUGUGAAUUCAUCUGAAACAUCAUGUUCUAGCUUUAAAUGGUUGUACUUCGGAUACAGAUCUAUUGAUACCAUUGUUAGUGAUGGACAGAUUAAUGAAGAUUCACCUCAAGCUGAUAAACUGAGUCUGGGCCGUAGAUGUUCUUUGACCAUCACAAACAUCUCCUCUGAGGACGCAGGACGUUACAUCUGUUCCUAUGGGAAAACAUUUGAACACAACACAGUUGUGUCUCUGAACAUUUUAACACUCUCAGCAAAACAAAGCACUGAUCCAGUGGGAGGAGUCACACUGACGUGCACUCUGUGGGGGUACGCCAACCCCUAUUGUGAAGAAGACAGCCUGAGAUGGCUGGAUGAGGAGAGAGAUGAACUGAAGCAAGAUGAUUAUGAAGUCUAUUAUGAUAGACAGAUGAACUGUGUUUCUGAUCUGAUAAUAACACAUCAGAUUAACCACAGCAGAAGAUACACCUGCCAGUUUGUUAUAAACAAUGAAGUGAAGAUUUCUGCUGACUACACACUUGUGUCUACAGCUCCAAACAAGAUCAUCUUCAUCCUCAACAUUGCAAAGAUUUGCCUGCUGAUCAUCCUGGUUGUUAUUGUUACUACUGUUCAGAUUAAAUACAGGAGGAGGACUGGAGCAGCAGAAGAUGCUCAAGAUCAAGAUUGUGUUCCUGAUGAGCAGGACAGCAGAGUGAUCUAUGAAAAUGUAGAGAAUCACCAAGGCCCUGCCCAGCACCACGGUCAGAAAAAAAGAGGAGGAAGAGGAAGAAGAAGUGAUGUCUUCAACAGUCAAAGAAGCAGUGAAGAAGAUAGUGUGUGAGGAGAGGACAGAGGAAUUUUACACCAGCUUUAACUGUACAUGAAAAGAAGCUGUAGCAGUAACACGCCUCCACUGAUGUGUGUGCAUUUCAUAAGUUCUUUUUACGCAGUGACUCUUCUUUUUGUGGCUCAUUUUUUUACAGUUUGAAAAGAGCUGAUCCACCAAACCAAAGUGUAACAAUGUGGAAACGUCAAAGCGAGAAGCAGACGCCUCUGAUGUAGACUGGCAGUUGUCAGUCGAAACAUGUCAGGAGAUCAAAGUGGAUUUAUUAAAGAACAGUUGCUUGAAAAAAAGAAACCAUAACAUAACAUUAUCAUCAGAAGUUUGAAAAGAACAUCAAGAUCUUUUGUCGGCUGUCAAUGUUUAUUUUCAGGGAUUUUUCUUUGUCUAAUUACAACUUUAUUCUAAUAAUAUUAAAUAGUUUUUUCUCAUAAUAGAAUAAGUUUACUUUUGUAAUAUUACGACUUAAUGACUGUUAAAAAUGUCUUAUACUAAUACAACUUUACUCUUAAAGUCUAUAAAAACGAUGCUCACACUGAUCUUCUUUCUUCAUCUCUGACCCAAGAUAAGCUGUAAAUAUGUCUAAAUUUACUUUCUAUUAUCAGCUUCUAUUUUUCUCACUGUCUUCUUCUUUUCUGUUUGUUCCUGCUAGAAAAUUUCCACUUCACAUUGUUUGCUUUCAUCUCUGUAAUUAUCUCUGCAAAGAGUGAGAGUCACAUUGUGAAAAAAACAAAAUAAAACAAAAAAACACCACA
This is a long non-coding RNA of Gouania willdenowi (blunt-snouted clingfish), 1717 nucleotides long. The record is from Ensembl. Lineage: Eukaryota; Metazoa; Chordata; Actinopteri; Blenniiformes; Gobiesocidae.